Molecule: ribosomal RNA, 493 nt
Filed under: uncultured bacterium
Lineage: Bacteria
Description: partial 16S ribosomal RNA
Rfam family: Bacterial small subunit ribosomal RNA
Source: RNAcentral
GACGAACGCUGGCGGCGUGCUUAACACAUGCAAGUCGAACGGUGAAGCGCCUUCCUUUUUGGUGGGUGUGGAUGAGUGGCGAACGGGUGAGUAACACGUGAGUAACCUGCCCCCUUCUUCUGGAUAACCGCAUGAAAGUGUGGCUAAUACGGGAUAUUCUGGGUCUGUCGCAUGAUGGGUCUGGGAAAGAUAUUGUUUCGGUGGGGGAUGGGCUCGCGGCCUAUCAGCUUGUUGGUGGGGUGAUGGCCUACCAAGGCGGUGACGGGUAGCCGGCCUGAGAGGGUGGACGGUCGGACUGGGACUGAGACCCGGCCCCGACUCCUAGGGGAGGCUGCGGUGGGGAAUAUUGCACAAUGGGCGCAAGCCUGAUGCAGCGGCGCCGCGUGAGGGAUGGAGGCCUUCGGGUUGUGAACCUCUUUCGCCAGUGAAGCAGGCCUGCCUCGUUUGUGGGUGGGUUGACGGUAGCUGGAUAAGAAGCGCCGGCUACCUACGU